UGGUGGAGUGAUUUGUCUGGUUAAUUCCGUUAACGAACGAGACCUUAACCUAUUAAAUAGUUGCACACGAAUUUGAUUCAUGUGUUACUAUCAUUAUAGUUACAUUUGUUUCUUAAUGAUAGUAUCCUCCAUGUUUCUGUAUUGUUCUGUGUGAUUGUGUAUGUAUGUGUAAAAGCGUGCAUAAUACGACAACUUCUUAGAGGGACUCAUUACAUGUAUAGUAA
This 224-nucleotide ribosomal RNA is filed under the name uncultured eukaryote. RNAcentral's name for it is "partial 18S ribosomal RNA". It matches the Rfam family "Eukaryotic small subunit ribosomal RNA", at positions 1299 to 1436 of the family's 1831-position model. The record is from RNAcentral.